RNAcentral lists this ribosomal RNA (404 nucleotides) under Verrucomicrobiota bacterium. RNAcentral's name for it is "Verrucomicrobia bacterium partial 16S ribosomal RNA". It matches the Rfam family "Bacterial small subunit ribosomal RNA", at positions 355 to 776 of the family's 1533-position model. Lineage: Bacteria; Pseudomonadati; Verrucomicrobiota. The record is from RNAcentral.
UGGGGAAUAUUGCACAAUGGGGGAAACCCUGAUGCAGCGACGCCGCGUGAGCGAAGAAGGCUUUCGAGUCGUAAAGCUCUGUCCUAUGAGAAGAUAAUGACGGUAUCAUAGGAGGAAGCCCCGGCUAAUUACGUGCCAGCAGCCGCGGUAAUACGUAAGGGGCGAGCGUUGUCCGGAAUUAUUGGGCGUAAAGAGUGCGUAGGUGGUUUAGAAAGUCUGAUGUGAAAGCCCACGGCUCAACCGUGGAGGGUCAUUGGAAACUAAUAAACUUGAGUGCAGGAGAGAAAAGUGGAAUUCCUAGUGUAGCGGUGAAAUGCGUAGAGAUUAGGAGGAACACCGGUGGCGAAAGCGGCUUUUUGGCCUGCAACUGACACUGAGGCGCGAAAGCGUGGGGAGCAAACAGG